This 458-nucleotide ribosomal RNA is filed under the name uncultured Curtobacterium sp. RNAcentral describes it as "bacterial SSU rRNA". It matches the Rfam family "Bacterial small subunit ribosomal RNA", at positions 923 to 1382 of the family's 1533-position model. Lineage: Bacteria; Bacillati; Actinomycetota; Actinomycetes; Micrococcales; Microbacteriaceae. The record is from RNAcentral.
GCACAAGCGGCGGAGCAUGCGGAUUAAUUCGAUGCAACGCGAAGAACCUUACCAAGGCUUGACAUACACCGGUAACGCCCAGAGAUGGGUGCCCCUUUGUGGUCGGUGUACAGGUGGUGCAUGGUUGUCGUCAGCUCGUGUCGUGAGAUGUUGGGUUAAGUCCCGCAACGAGCGCAACCCUCGUCCUAUGUUGCCAGCGGGUCAUGCCGGGGACUCAUGGGAGACUGCCGGGGUCAACUCGGAGGAAGUGGGGAUGACGUCAAAUCAUCAUGCCCCUUAUGUCUUGGGCUUCACGCAUGCUACAAUGGCCGGUACAAAGGGCUGCGAUACCGCGAGGUGGAGCGAAUCCCAGAAAGCCGGUCUCAGUUCGGAUUGGGGUCUGCAACUCGACCCCAUGAAGUCGGAGUCGCUAGUAAUCGCAGAUCAGCAACGCUGCGGUGAAUACGUUCCCGGGCCUU